AUUCAAAAACCAACUGCCAAUCCAUUCCUGCAUGUUGACACAAAAGGACAGUGGUUGAACCAACUUGCAAGUAGCCUACCAAUAAGUACGUUAUUUUUCAAUGUAUUAAGUAUUACAGUGUGGAGUCAAUUGAGGGGACUAGCCUAUGUUUCAUGAAGCCAUUAGAAGACUGUUGCUGACUGAGAGGAGUCUGGCAGAGGAUCUCUCUUUCGGCUGCUGCUGCAUUCAAGCAGGUAGCCCUGCUAAGGAGUUGAACCUGUGGCAGGAGUUGAACCUGUGGUCGAAAGGUGGCCGGUUUGAAUCUCAGGCCGGGCACUGGAAAAAAAUAACAGGUGGAAUAGAUCUGACAACUGAAGGGCUUCUGGGUUCACAUCCUCAAAACAUUUCCCUACCGUUGGACACUUGAGCAAGGCCCUUAAACCCACAACAUGCUCUCCAUCCUGGGGCGCUGCACUGCAGCUGGAACCUGUGCUCGUCUCAACUGUAUGUUUGAGGGGGGAUUGAGAACGGAGCAGAACACACAUUUUUGUUGUUCACUGUAACUAAUGGACAAAGUAUAUUGUAUGGUAUUGAAUUGUAUUGUAUUGUACUGCAAGAGUCAGCCAGAGUUGACGUGGGACAUCAUUCAAACAAUGAGAUGCCUCCCCUGGCAACCAGUGCAUAUUUCCAAACUAUAUUUGCAUAUAAUGACGAUAAAUUCUAAAAACUA
Long non-coding RNA from Coregonus clupeaformis (lake whitefish), 709 nucleotides. RefSeq lists it as uncharacterized. Lineage: Eukaryota; Metazoa; Chordata; Actinopteri; Salmoniformes; Salmonidae. The record is from RefSeq and is a predicted model, not a curated record. The transcript is spliced from 4 exons.